Molecule: long non-coding RNA, 453 nt
Organism: Folsomia candida
Lineage: Eukaryota; Metazoa; Arthropoda; Collembola; Entomobryomorpha; Isotomidae
Exons: 3
Source: RefSeq, a predicted model, not a curated record
AUAUCAUCAGAGUAGGACCACCAUCCAACAGAAGCAGUAGAAGAAAUUCAACGCUCCUAAACAUAAAAAAAUAUCCAAUACUAAUUCAAUAAUUACAUCCACAUCAUCGCAAUGAACAACUUCAUCAAGCUCUUGGCCGUCAUGGCACUUGUUUUCGCAACCGUUUAUGCCACAAGUUUGCACCAGGAAAAAGACAUGAGUGAUUCGUCCUCAGGAUCAAACUCAGAUUCGAAAUGGCUUCCCCCAGGAAUCUGGAUCCCACUGCCUAACCUUGCCCCAACUGGAAACACGACAGGUUAAAUGUCCCCAUCUUGUCAGCACAUAAUUAUUUUAUAGUCAAUCAAAAUAAUUAUGGUACAAAAUCCUCCAGAGCCUGAGAAUAGAUACAAAUUCAUUAAUUAUACUUAAUUAAAAAUUGGAGUAAUAAAAUGCAAUAUUUAAUUGUUCCGUAAA